Molecule: ribosomal RNA, 484 nt
Filed under: uncultured bacterium
Lineage: Bacteria
Description: partial 16S ribosomal RNA
Rfam family: Bacterial small subunit ribosomal RNA
Source: RNAcentral
AUUGAACGCUGGCGGCAGGCCUAACACAUGCAAGUCGAGCGGAUGAAGGGAGCUUGCUCCUGGAUUCAGCGGCGGACGGGUGAGUAAUGCCUAGGAAUCUGCCUGGUAGUGGGGGAUAACGUCCGGAAACGGGCGCUAAUACCGCAUACGUCCUGAGGGAGAAAGUGGGGGAUCUUCGGACCUCACGCUAUCAGGUGAGCCUAGGUCGGAUUAGCUAGUUGGUGGGGUAAAGGCCUACCAAGGCGACGAUCCGUAACUGGUCUGAGAGGAUGAUCAGUCACACUGGAACUGAGACACGGUUCAGACUCCUACGGGAGGCAGCAGUGGGGAAUAUUGGACAAUGGGCGAAAGCCUGAUCCAGCCAUGCCGCGUGUGUGAAGAAGGUCUUCGGAUUGUAAAGCACUUUAAGUUGGGAGGAAGGGCAGUAAGUUAAUACCUUGCUGUUUUGACGUUACCAACAGAAUAAGCACCGGCUAACUUCGUG